GUGGGGGAAAGGUUUUCCAUAUAGACAUUCCUGAAGGAGAUGUCAUGUUCCGGGGUGCUGGGAUUCCGCAGAGCAGGAGUCUCUGGCCAUUUGUAAUCGGGUCGUGAAAGAGUAGAUUCUGGAAAACCAAGACACUGCUUCAAACCAUCAGGUUAGAGUCAUUGAUAAAAGUUUAGCACCUCCGUUCUAAUCGGAAUUAGCGCGCCUGAGAAAACCAGCAUGUAAUUUGGCAAGAUCUGAGGCAAUUACUUAAAAAGAGGAGCAGAUGUAAUUGAGCAUGCGACCCUGUCAUCCUGUCACCGGCAGAGCAGGGCUUCUCUUCUUAAUUUUCUUUACACAAAACUCAUGAAAUGUGGCCGAUUGGUAGGGCUGCAGCAUUCAGUUUGCUUGAUUUCCUUUUUGGUCAUUUCUCAACAUGGACAGCAAACAACCUCAACCACCUCGGAAAAGUUUGACCGUUACUUCGAGUUUCUUCGCAGGAUGGAUGGAAUUUAAAAACCAGUACAGAAGUGUUUAUGUGUCUUCCUUAGCAACGACAGGCAUCAGAAGG
This 550-nucleotide long non-coding RNA is filed under the name Rattus norvegicus (Norway rat). RNAcentral describes it as "long non-coding RNA NONRATT033043". The record is from RNAcentral. Lineage: Eukaryota; Metazoa; Chordata; Mammalia; Rodentia; Muridae.